RNAcentral lists this ribosomal RNA (553 nucleotides) under uncultured bacterium. RNAcentral describes it as "partial 16S ribosomal RNA". It matches the Rfam family "Bacterial small subunit ribosomal RNA", at positions 355 to 900 of the family's 1533-position model. The record is from RNAcentral.
UAGGGAAUCUUCGGCAAUGGACGAAAGUCUGACCGAGCAACGCCGCGUGAGUGAAGAAGGUUUUCGGAUCGUAAAACUCUGUUGGUAGAGAAGAACGUUGGUGAGAGUGGAAAGCUCAUCAAGUGACGGUAACUACCCAGAAAGGGACGGCUAACUACGUGCCAGCAGCCGCGGUAAUACGUAGGUCCCGAGCGUUGUCCGGAUUUAUUGGGCGUAAAGCGAGCGCAGGUGGUUUAUUAAGUCUGGUGUAAAAGGCAGUGGCUCAACCAUUGUAUGCAUUGGAAACUGGUAGACUUGAGUGCAGGAGAGGAGAGUGGAAUUCCAUGUGUAGCGGUGAAAUACGUAGAUAUAUGGAGGAACACCGGUGGCGAAAGCGGCUCUCUGGCCUGUAACUGACACUGAGGCUCGAAAGCGUGGGGAGCAAACAGGAUUAGAUAGCCCUGGUAGUCCACGCGUAAACGAUGAGUGCUAGAUGUAGGGAGCUAUAAGUUCUCUGUAUCGCAGCUAACGCAAUAAGCACUCCGCCUGGGGAGUACGACCGCAAGGUUGAAAC